This 464-nucleotide ribosomal RNA is filed under the name uncultured bacterium. Its description in RNAcentral is "bacterial SSU rRNA". It matches the Rfam family "Bacterial small subunit ribosomal RNA", at positions 124 to 574 of the family's 1533-position model. The record is from RNAcentral.
ACCUGCCUGUAAGACUGGGAUAACUUCGGGAAACCGAAGCUAAUACCGGAUAGGAUCUUCUCCUUCAUGGGAGAUGAUUGAAAGAUGGUUUCGGCUAUCACUUACAGAUGGGCCCGCGGUGCAUUAGCUAGUUGGUGAGGUAACGGCUCACCAAGGCAACGAUGCAUAGCCGACCUGAGAGGGUGAUCGGCCACACUGGGACUGAGACACGGCCCAGACUCCUACGGGAGGCAGCAGUAGGGAAUCUUCCGCAAUGGACGAAAGUCUGACGGAGCAACGCCGCGUGAGUGAUGAAGGCUUUCGGGUCGUAAAACUCUGUUGUUAGGGAAGAACAAGUACNAGAGUAACUGCUCGUACCUUGACGGUACCUAACCAGAAAGCCACGGCUAACUACGUGCCAGCAGCCGCGGUAAUACGUAGGUGGCAAGCGUUAUCCGGAAUUAUUGGGCGUAAAGCGCGCGCAG